RNAcentral lists this long non-coding RNA (312 nucleotides) under Nicotiana benthamiana. RNAcentral's name for it is "long non-coding RNA (NBEN_LNC035350)". Lineage: Eukaryota; Viridiplantae; Streptophyta; Magnoliopsida; Solanales; Solanaceae. The record is from RNAcentral.
AAGGUAUCUUCUUUUUCGUUACUUUCUCUUUUGUUGUUUCUUUGUUUGCGUGAUUAGUUUCGUCUUUUUCAAUUACUUUUCUUUAUUUCUUCUCAAUCAGAUUGUUUCUUGGUCCAGUUUUCUUAUGUCAGUUAACAUAUGUUAUAAAUAGUUUCGUCGAUUAAUCCAUCUUGAUUGAAGUUCAACAGUUCUGGUCAAAUUAUUUGUUGUUAUUUCAAAAUUGCUUCGUUUUGUGUGAUAUUGGAUCCUCUGCUCUUUGUAGUUCUUUGUUCUUGCAUAUGAAUUCAGUUUUAUUUUCGUUCAGUGUACCUU